This is a long non-coding RNA of Falco peregrinus (peregrine falcon), 2793 nucleotides long. RefSeq lists it as uncharacterized. The transcript has 2 exons. Lineage: Eukaryota; Metazoa; Chordata; Aves; Falconiformes; Falconidae. The record is from RefSeq and is a predicted model, not a curated record.
CACAGAGAAGGGGAAAGCAAGAAAUCAGUAUUCAACUUAAUAAAAUAAAGUUCUGACCCAGAUAAAGUCAUCUGGGUUCUUCCACUGAUCAUUGCCCUAUUGAGCCACCAUUCCAGUUCUAUUAUUUCUUUUAAAUAGGGAUUUAAUGCUCAUGAAUGGAAGGUGAAUGCUUGAAAAUGAAAGGUGAUCACUGCAGUAAAGGACAAAUCAAUACAGAACCAAAGUGCUCUACUUAUCCACAGGGCAAACUAAAGUGAAAGGAAAUGUCUUCAAGACUCUCUCAAGCAGUUGUACUAAUAGAAAUGAUGAUUAAAUUCCCAUAAUAUUACACUAGGACUUAAAAAAAAAUCAGUAAUUAAACACUUACUAGAAAAGGAAUUGGCAGCUACCUGGACUGUGGGCAUUUUGUUGUUCAUUUUCCUUUAGCUUGAUUGAAAAGAAAGGAAUUUGAUUUAAUUUUGUGAAUUUUUAAUUAAUAAAGAUUGAUAGCUGCAAAGAGCAGUUUUAGAAGGACCAGAAAAAAAUUACUCCCCUGCAAGUUAUUUAAAGUUCAGUUCCUAGGAAUGCAAGGAAUUGAGUACUUUUCUUGAGUUCUGGGUCACAUAAGCAUAAAUGAGUAUAUUUGGAAUAAUAGCUGGAAAGUUAGUUUGUUCAGUAGGUGUGAAAUGGGCUUUUUUUAACCUCUAAAUGUGAUUAAUAUUGGAGGUUGUAAAUAACAUGAUAGCAAGAGAAGGGCUCAUGUUUACAGGUAAAAUAUUUUUUAAUUCCAUGGAAAUUGCAAAAAAUGAAAAUAGAAUUUGGGCCAGGAACUUUCUGUGCUAAUCUGGGACUGACAUUUGGGGGCGUUGGUGUCAAAAGAUUUUGGUUUUGGGUCAUUCUCAGCAGUAGAUGAAACAAUGAAGGAUUCACUCUCUUUGAUCCUCCAGCAAACCCUGAUUGGUUGGAAGCAGGGAGAUACAGUUAACUUCACAAAGUCAAUAAAUGUGGCCAUCUGGGAGAAUGCAAAUUUAGACAAAUGUGAUAUAUGUGGGAUGACACUUUUUCCUUAGAACAUGCCACACCAUAAAAGCAUUAAAAAUACAUUCAUAUGACCCAGAGCAUUUGAUUAAAGCCUUCAAUAUGCAAUACAUUCAGUCCCAAGCAAACCAAAGGGGACAACUUGUACCAAUUCCAGACCCAGUUUCAUUCAGGUUUAUUUUUCUACCUCCUCAGCCUCUUCUUUUCAGCAUCUCGGUCUGUGUUUCCUUUCAAUUCAAAUAACCAAGUGGAAUCUGUGUAAAAAAAAACACAAUCCAUUGUGCCACAACUCCUCCUUUAUGUGGAAAAUUGUUUUUCCUCUUUCAUUUCUUUACGUUUCAUCCUGUUGAGCCACUGGCUUGAGAAAAAGUUAAGUAUCUUUGCACAUGGGCAACUUCUCCUGGGAGCAGUCCCAGUAUGUCUGAAAUGAGUAAAGCUGACCUGAUUAGGACCUGAUCCCUGCAGCUACUGGUAUUCAAGCACGGACUGAAUAAUCUUUGUCCAGUUCUGAGUGCAUUGUCAGUGACUAAGGGAUAAUGUAUAUUUACAAGUUUUGCAAAGGAAAAAGAAGAACCCAAAAUGCUCCAGAUGAAGAAAACAAACACAACAUCCAGAUUCCAGAGGUUUGAAAGAACAGUGAUAACAAACUUAGAAAAGCCAAGCAACAUAGCACAGUCACAAGUUCUACAGAAAUUAAAGAUGGAAUUACUUGAAAUUCAUAUGAUGAAAAACAUAUAAUACUGGGGGCAGGGGAGUGUGGAGUGGAUCUUUUGCAUGGUAUGGGUUUGGGACUAUUCUUCAUCACUUUGUCUUCACACUGAAAACAAAGCAGUUGCAGCAGCCUCAGUCUGGAAUGAUGACUCAAGCCCUGACAUACGUUCCAGAGUGAAACAGGGCAAGACAGUUCAGAACAUUCCAGGUUUUGUUAUUAUUGCAGUUUCCCCAAAAUAGCAACAACUCUUUCACUGGGCUAAAAGAAUCUUCCUUUGCUUGACAAAACUCAGAGGGAGCUUGUUUUUUGAAAAGUGGCAAAGCAGGUAGGACAUUUUUAUAGCCUUCCUUUCUUUUUACCUUUUUGUGACCCCUAAGAAGUCACAAUCCUCUCAUAGUCUAAUCAGCAUGGGGAAUUGCAGGAUGAAUGGGCUGGAAAAUUCCUUUGCAAGGCAAUAAUAAUUUUUUUUUUUUCAUAUAUGAAUUCCAGCUUAGUUCUUAGGAGCUUAACAAAGUGAAGUCAUGGUUAUUGUUUUUUAAUUUUGUUUGGUCCUUCAUAGAGCUUUUCAAAGGCACUGGCUUUUGCAUAAGUUGUAAGUUUACGUUAAAGUCCUAUGCUAGUCUGUGUUACACAUUUUAGUGCGUUCUGUACUGCCCUGGGAGCUAACCCCCUCCCCCAAAGAACUCUUUCUCAGCCCCUUCAUCUGUAACCUUUCUGCAAGUAAAUGCUAAUUGAAAAAGAAAGAACACCACUAAUCUUGGAAUUUAAAUGCAUUUAACAAAACCAAUCUCAAUCUAAAUUGUUGUUUCACCAUUCCCUUUUCCCCAACAGAUGUCGAGAAACUGCAAUUCCUAUUAAGAACACUUGACUGUUUACUCAGCAAGAGAACUUCAGGCUCAGGCUGCAUCAAUCUAAAUGCGUUUCAGGACGUCAGUCUUUUGAAAAGUGCAGACUGUUAGUUGGUUAUUUUUAAACGUAAUCUUCACAUAAAAGAGUUGCUGCAUUUUUUCUUUUCACUUUGUCAUCCCUCUAUCCCUCCUCACGCUUUUAUUAUUAUUUUUUUU